Molecule: non-coding RNA, 73 nt
Filed under: uncultured Prevotella sp.
Lineage: Bacteria; Pseudomonadati; Bacteroidota; Bacteroidia; Bacteroidales; Prevotellaceae
Description: L13-Bacteroidia ribosomal protein leader
Rfam family: L13-Bacteroidia ribosomal protein leader
Source: RNAcentral
GGGGAGUCUUAGGCCCCCACGGAUGAGCGUGUUAAUAGCUGUGCCUUUGGCCGGGCAUGGUGGUUAGUGAAUC